RNAcentral lists this ribosomal RNA (253 nucleotides) under uncultured bacterium. RNAcentral describes it as "partial 16S ribosomal RNA". It matches the Rfam family "Bacterial small subunit ribosomal RNA", at positions 524 to 776 of the family's 1533-position model. The record is from RNAcentral.
UACAGAGGGUGCAAGCGUUGUUCGGAAUUACUGGGCGUAAAGGGCGCGUAGGCGGUUUGAAUCGUCGGAUGUGAAAGGCCUGGGCUCAACCUGGGAACGGCAUCCGAUACGGUCAGACUUGAGUGUGGGAGAGGUUGGUGGAAUUCCCAGUGUAGAGGUGAAAUUCGUAGAUAUCGGGAAGAACACCGGUGGCGAAGGCGGCCAACUGGACCACAACUGACGCUGAGGCGCGAAAGCGUGGGGAGCAAACAGG